Molecule: long non-coding RNA, 529 nt
Filed under: Anser brachyrhynchus (Pink-footed goose)
Lineage: Eukaryota; Metazoa; Chordata; Aves; Anseriformes; Anatidae
Description: lncRNA (ENSABRG00000014903.1)
Source: RNAcentral
GUAAUAGGUCUUUGCUGUCCUGAAAGCCUGUUCCAACAUGAAGGGUCACUAGAAGGAGUAAUAAAGCCACACCAUGAUGCUGGGGUCCUCUUCCGCAGGUCUUUAGUUUCUGAUGGAAUCUUAGACUUUGAGUACUGGUUUAGAGUGGUCUGGCCCUUCCCCAAGCAGGAGGAUAAUUCCAAGUUAUAACAGAUGCAGACCAUCCCCUAAGACUCAGGAUCAAUCAGACAGAAGCCAGGUGGAAAUCACGCAUUCCAAGUAAGCUGUUGUGGUUGUAGUCCAGCUAACUGCAGGUACUUCUGCAGGAAGGUUGAAUGCAGUUCAGUCAAAGCUUUCCAUGGGUCCUUGGAUUGGAAUUAAUUUCUCCUGUUCAUUUCAACCUUGACAAGGCAAUAACUAUGGCAAUUGUGAAGUUAGCUAUUUCUGAAAUGGUGAAAUAAUCUUCUGAAAUUUGCUCAGAACAGUUCAAGACAGAUGACUAGCUUGCCAUCAACCUAGAAUUUUAGCAAGGACAUAGGGAUGCACUCUG